This 160-nucleotide ribosomal RNA is filed under the name Chlorella vulgaris. The record is from RNAcentral. Lineage: Eukaryota; Viridiplantae; Chlorophyta; Trebouxiophyceae; Chlorellales; Chlorellaceae.
AACUCUCAACAACGGAUAUCUUGGCUCCCGUAUCGAUGAAGAACGUAGCGAAAUGCGAUACGUAGUGUGAAUUGCAGAAUUCCGUGAACCAUCGAAUCUUUGAACGCAACUUGCGCCUGAGGCUUCGGCCAAAGGCAUGUCUGCCUCAGCGUCGGCUCAC